UGGGGAAUAUUGGACAAUGGGGGAAACCCUGAUCCAGCGACGCCGCGUGGGUGAAGAAGGCCUGCGGGUUGUAAAGCCCUUUCGGUAGGGACGAAAACUCUUGCCUUAACACGGCAGGAGCUUGACUUAACCUACAUAAGAAGCACCGGCUAACUCUGUGCCAGCAGCCGCGGUAAUACAGAGGGUGCGAGCGUUAAUCGGAAUUACUGGGCGUAAAGCGCACGUAGUCGGCUUUGCAAGUCGGGUGUGAAAUCCCCGGGCUCAACCUGGGAACUGCAUCCGAAACUACAUUGCUAGAGUAUGGGAGAGGGAAGCGGAAUUUCUGGUGUAGCAGUGAAAUGCGUAGAUAUCAGAAGGAACAUCAGUGGCGAAGGCGGCUUCCUGGACCAAUACUGACGAUCAGGUGCGAAAGCGUGGGGAGCAAACAGG
RNAcentral lists this ribosomal RNA (429 nucleotides) under uncultured bacterium. RNAcentral's name for it is "bacterial SSU rRNA". It matches the Rfam family "Bacterial small subunit ribosomal RNA", at positions 355 to 776 of the family's 1533-position model. The record is from RNAcentral.